GGUUGAUCCUGCCAGUGGUUGUACAUUCGGGAAUGAGAUUAAGCCAUGCAUGUGUGAGUUGACUGUUGUAGACUGCGGAUAGCUCAAUAUAAUGACUAGAAUCUUUGUAACAUAAGUCAAAGGAAUAUAGGUGGAAACUCUGCCGGUAAUCCUCAAAUUAUCAGCCAAAUUCAAAGAAUUUGUAAUUAUGGAAUGAAAGUUUAUCAAACUGUUGCGCUACGGGUCAUCCUAUCAGUUGACACAAUAGGGUAGUGUCCUAAUGUGGCUAUCACGGGUGACGGGGAAUGAGGGUU
RNAcentral lists this ribosomal RNA (293 nucleotides) under uncultured eukaryote. RNAcentral describes it as "partial 18S ribosomal RNA". It matches the Rfam family "Eukaryotic small subunit ribosomal RNA", at positions 6 to 377 of the family's 1831-position model. The record is from RNAcentral.